GUUACCGGCAGGUUACAUGACCGAGCACCACCCAUCACUUUAUAGAGGUCGUUAACACACAGCUAAUUGAUGCCUGACUUUGUUCAGUUCCCCUCGUUACUUAUGGUUGUAUGAUUAUGGUUUGUCAUAAAUUUUAAAUGGUAAGUCGCAUCACGCUAUAAAAUAAAUUGCGCCAUACAUAAUUCGGUUGUCCAUUCAGGGAGAACGAAGGACGCGGGCAAGAUGGAAUGGAAUUCUUUUGUAUACAUUUUGCUGCUAUGUGCAUUCCAGUCCUUCGUUGCCAUGGUAACAGCGAAUGGAAAUUAUGAAAGAAGGGAAGAGUGGGCUGAGUACGACCCUGAAGGUAGAGGAGAAUACUACAAAUGAUGUACAAUGAUGGCAUCAUGACGUCACCUUUCCGUUGUUUGGACAGUAAAUAGUUGUCAUGCUGCAG
Pecten maximus is the source of this 433-nucleotide long non-coding RNA. RefSeq lists it as uncharacterized. The record is from RefSeq and is a predicted model, not a curated record. The transcript has 3 exons. NCBI's taxonomy places the organism in Eukaryota, Metazoa, Mollusca, Bivalvia, Pectinida, Pectinidae.